Long non-coding RNA from Haemorhous mexicanus (house finch), 6626 nucleotides. RefSeq lists it as uncharacterized. The transcript has 3 exons. NCBI's taxonomy places the organism in Eukaryota, Metazoa, Chordata, Aves, Passeriformes, Fringillidae. The record is from RefSeq and is a predicted model, not a curated record.
GGCGGGGGCAGCGGGACCUGCCGGCACUGCCGUGCCUGGAUACCUCCCAGGGAAACGCUGUGCUUUUUCUUUUCCCUUUUUCCAUCUAGCAGAUUGCCACUCGCCGCUCUCCCUCCCUGCCCGGCCGGCCUGGUUUUCCUUUUCCUUUUUUUUUUUUUUCUUUUCUUCCUUUUCUCAAUUUUUUUUUAUUUUUUCCCCUUUCUUUUUCUUUCUUUUUCCUUUUUUUUUUUUUUUGAAAGUGAAUUUUCCACUUCUAAAAUGACUCCGCUGGCCUUCGUAACUUGGGGGAGAGGAGCAGCAGUUCUGUGAGGUGCUCGGCGUUCCCCUCGCCCCAAAGCCCUGCCCUCCUGCGGGCGCAGACCGCUCCCCCUUUUCCCUUUUCCGGGGCGAGAGCUGCGCCGUGGGACCCCUCGGCCGUGGGACCCCGCGGCCCGGGCCCUGGCUCUCGGCAUGGACUUAGGCGCUCUUUGAAGAUUUCUACUUUAAAAUCCACACGGGAUUAAUGUAACUAACAUUUUUCUGCAUCUGAUUUGGUUUGAGGUUUUUUCCUCCCUCCACUUCUUUCUUUUUUCUUUUUUUUCCUUAACUAUGCCAAACAAAAAGAAAAAAUUGGCGUAAUGUAAAAAUGGUUUAAAAACCAAAGGUAAGUAACUACUAUACGUGGCAAGACGCGCCUUUUUGUUUGUUUUUCCUAAUUAAAAUAAUUUUCACUUUUUUAAUAUGAUCUCGUGCCUCGCUAUUGAUUUGUAUCAAACAGCAGCGUCCGCUUCCCUUUCGUAUUUUGUUAGGUGUCGAAAGCAGAAAGUGCUGAGUUAGAAACUCCAGUAUCGUCUCGUUGUAUUAAUAUCUGGGCUGCAAACUACCUUUUUUAAUACCCAGAAAAAUGCUUAAAGUCCUCUUGUCCAGUUCGGUCUAAAACUGAAGAGAUACACAAAUCCUGACGUCUUAGACUACAAUGCUUUUGCCUCCAGGACACUUAAUGCCUAUUUGUAUAUGUAGAGACAGUGUUUGAAACCUAUAAUGCGCAGGACACUGAGUUAAGUGGAGCUUUUCUAGUUUAUAAACAAUCCGCAAAAAGUUUGGAAUCGAUUUAACCUCUUUUAUGUUGGCCUUUUGCACGAGGCACAGCUCCGCAUGGCAGGAUAAAAAAAAAAGGCUUUCUGGACCUCGCCGAAGUCUCUCUGAAAGUGGAAGACGGACACACAUCUCUCCGUACGAGAAAGCCUUUGAUUAUAAAUAUGGGAAAAGUGUCAUGCAACCAGACCCGCUCGAAAAGCCUUCAGAAAAGAACGGGGGGGUGAAAGCUUAGCGCAUCCUGACGGGCUUUUUAAAUGCUAUUGAUUGGGACAAGCUGUUCAAAACCCCAGUAACAGUUAAUCUGCCUGUUAAUCAAGCCACUAAGGAGCUCAAUGCGAGUUUUAUUAGCAACCGGAGAACACAGGCGGCAAAAGGAUCAAAAGCCUACACCCUUGAUAUUUGUAAAACCGGCCUUUCCCAAAAAUAUAUUUUCAAUUACACAGUAAUUCGGAGCUUAUCAGGGCUCGCUCGCAGCCCCACGCAGAUGGCUCCGAGGACGCUGCCAGAGCCACAGAAGGGAAGGAAGAAGCAUCGCGCCGUCCCCGCCGAGGUGCGCGGGUUAAAAAGAACGCUUUAAGGAGAUGUCCCGCUCUCGCCUCUCUCCCAUCUCGGACCCUCCUGGCCUCCCGAAAUAGCAGCAAAACCUCCACUCGGCAAACCACGAGAAACCGAGGGAGAAACUCGUAUUCACGUCAAUUGUGUUAUUAGGCUGAGGGGUGGAGGGUUCUUUUUUCUUUUAGCUGGCGUAUUUGAUUUAUUGCGGCAAGUUUGCAGGGCAUAUUUCCCUCUGUCCAUCCUUUUGGUAGAACCUCUCAUUUAAUUGCUUAAAAAAAAAAAAAGUUUGGAGAGCCUGAAAGUUGGAUUUCAAUUAAUUUAAUGACCAGAAAUACUAUUAUAUCGGCUAAAAUCAACAUUUGAUCUUGUCAUUUUUAAAAUGCAAUCCGAUUCCUUUAUAUGUCAGCGAGAUAUGCAUAUAAAAGACUAUCUGGUCAGAGGUAAUUAUGUCACAGCUUUUUCUCGGCAUGACAGCUGGAUAAACACCAUCUCCAAUAAACAUCUCUAAUUAGGGAGGAGGAUCUGAGAUAGAUGGUGUUUGAUUUAUUACUGAAGGAGAAUGUCCAUUUACCGGUAUAUUAUAGAGAAGCAUCACAGGGAGCGUUCCCGCUAACGCACCAUAAGGAGUAUUUGGAGAUGCCCGAAGACAGCGUUACUUUUCUGUUUGAUCCCCGAUGACAGAAAAGCAGAGCUCUGAAUACUCACUGUGGGCACAGAGGAAGGGCUGGGAGCCUGGGUCACCCUCUGGGGGGAAAGAUCCUGCCAAGUGAGCUGGUGGGAGCUGUGAGGGGUGCAAUCCUGGGAGUGUUUGAUCCAGUGGCUUUGCUCACACCACAGAGGUAACUCGUGCGUCAAAAGCUGAAAUUCAGUAGAAGCUGAUGAAGCCACCAUGGAGAAAUGCUGGUUCACCACACUGGCUAGCACCAGCUUGGUCUGGCUCCAGCUCCGGGAUGUGCAGCCUACAGACACAGGAAUGAAAAGAAAUAUUCUAAAAAGGAUGAGUCAGCUGGAGGCCAGUGGGGAGAGUGUGCAGGAUCUGACUGGAAUUUUAAAAGCUAUGAGGCUCCACGUUGUUUUGAGCCCUGCCAGUGGAGAAACUCAAACAUGGGAAAGGCUUUGUCAUCUGGCAUAAUUAUGGCACUUUGCUGAUUAGCUGGUAAACUCUUUUCAAAGUGCUUCUAGACAAUAGUAAUUUCAUGAAAUAGAAAAACUUCCUGGUGCCACCACCAACAAGGGCAUGAUUUACAUGGUAUUGAAAAGUGUCUUCCCCAGAACCCCACCAGACUGUUGAACAGCCAUGAAAUUGGGUUUUUUUAGCAUGUAUUAGAUGACUUACCCAUUAAAACAGUUGAGGUAUCUUCACAUCUUCACUUCUGUGCUGUAAGCUGGAUGUGAGCUGUGAGUGCACCCACAGUGGUAGUGCAACUGAUGCCUCAGGUUUCAGCUUUUCUAUUUUCACAUUCUGUGUGGCUUUAAUGUUUAUUUCCUGGGCUCCACAUGAGGGGAUGGUGAGCUCUCUGCACAGAGCAGGGAGACAAAACAAUUCCUGCUCUAGCUGGGCACCAAGGACAAAUGAUCCAAAUCUCAGCCCCAAGAGCACAAACACCGUGGGCUGGAGAGAGAAAAACAAGCAGAGUGGGACUGCCUGGGCCAAAGCUGGAAUGGGACAAUGAACUGCAAGGUGCAAAUGGAGCAGAACUGAUCCCAGGGAGAGACCCCGGGAGCUCUCAUGCAUUUUGGGCCAUUUUGGUUCAUCUUGGGUGCAGCCCUGGCUGGGCUCUUGUGCUGCCCAAGGUGGGUCCAUGGAGGAGAUCCUUUGAAUAAAUCCCUGCUUUAUUCUUUAGCUCUGUCUGGUCUUGUUCUAGGUCAGCCUAGAACAGAGCUUGUUGUUCAAGGCAUCACAGCCUGGAUUUCUCUGCUUGAUUUUCUGUGUGUUUGCACCAACUAGGACAUCAGCAGUUUUGUGUGAAGCUCCUCCACUCAGCCUCCAGCCAGGUACCAGCACAUCCUCCCUGGCUACUCUGGGAAGUGCAUACCAAUGCAGUGCCCAGCAUUGGUAUAAUUUGUGAGGCACGUAACUUUCAAAGAUUUGAAGCUUUGGCCAUAAGGUUCUUUGAAUAAAUGAUGUCAGAAUUACUUCUAAUGGUUGUGUGGAAAUGUACACAUCCCAUUCCUCCCCUACAAAGAGUGAUCCACCCAGUCCUACUUUCCAACGUGGUCAGACUAGUGGGGAGAGUCUGUGCACCUCCAAGCAAGGUUUUGGGAAGGAAAUGCUGCUGCCAUGUUGUGACUGGCCAUCCUUUACAGCUGCACUGUGUCUGCCUUUCCUGCACUCCUCCACCUUUCCUUCCAUCAAACCUGGUCAUUCCCAGGGAUGCUGACCCAAACUGUGGGACUGGCCAUGGGAAAGAAGGGUGAGCACAGCUGAUUGCUGCCUCCUCUGGGAGGAGCAGAUCCCUCUCCCACAUGUGCAUAAAUGAGCCACCAGUCCAAGCACAUUAAAUCAGACCAGGUAAUUUCCCUGAGGGAUAUCCCAUAAUCUUAGUGGGAAGCAGGGAAAUAUCAGCAGUGCUUUAUUGCUCUCACAGCCAUGGUGUGGGAGGUUAUUCCCCAGCUGCCUGGGAUGGUUAGCAAAGGGCCUGAGGUGGGCUCAGGGCCACUAGCAGCUUUCACCAAGGGCUUGUUGAGGACCUUCACACCAGUAAAAAAGCACUGGUGAGUUUUAGACAAGGCAACCAACCCAGUUUUCAUCCCAGGAACGUGCUGGAACAAGUGACACACAACUGUUUGUAAACACCCCAGGGGGAGCUACCAACAGGGAUUUGUCAAGGACAAAAUAUGUUAAAUCACUCCAGUUAUUUCCACAGAACUCACAGAAUGACCAGGUUGGAGGAGACCUUCAAGAUCAUGGAGUCCAACCCAGCCCCAACACCUCAACUCAACCCUGGCACCCAGGGCCACAUCCAGGCUUUGUUAAACACGCCCAGGGAUGGGGACUCCACCACCUCCCAAGGUGGCAGGCAAUUCCAGAACUCAUCACUCUUUCUGUAAAAAACUUCCAAAUAUCCACCCUGUAUUUAUUUCCCAUGACACAGCUUGGGACUGGGGAAGCCCUGCCAUGUGGUGAGAAGCCAUGGAUGAGAGAAAAGAAGCCCUGCCUCCAGUUUUCUCUCACUUGAGGAAGGUAGCACUUCUCAGGAAGCUUCCUUGAACAAGGCUGGGAAAUGUGGGUUGGAUGAAGAGACCCUGCAACCCCCAGGGACAAGGGGACAGCAGCAGUGCCUUCAGUGCCAGCUUGAGCUAGCAGUGGGUCGGGCUGGGGGAUGGUCAGCCUUGCAACCAGACACUGCUAAAUUGUCAUUCCUGUCCUGGAGCAGGUAUUACCCAAUCCCAGUCUCAGAUGACCCAAAGCAAAGAGGAGCAGUGGCAUGCAGGGAGGUGGGGUGGUGUUCAGGAUGACCACUUGGGGCUGGAAGGAGCAAGGGACGGGUGUGGUGAAACUAGGGGUGGGGUGAAGCACAGCCAGGUGGGUGCCAUGCUCCCAUUGGGAUGUUUUGCUUUAGGAGCCACAGGAGCCUUGAGAGUUGAGUGCUGAAAAUUAUGACAGGCUUGGAAAACGGGACUUAUUGCAGAACAGAUCAACCACCUGGAGCUGCUGAGAUUAAAGAGGAGAAGGUGCUGAGCAGCAAGAGAUUAUAACAACCUUUAAGUUCAUUACAGGUAGUGACCUAGGGGAAGGCUUGCUGUGUGUGUUCCUCCCGGGUAGGACUGCAGCAAACGGGCUCGGUGCGCGGCAAAGGAACUCGUUCCAAGCCUGAGGCAUGUCAUCCCUGACAGCAAGGCCAAUGAGAAGCCGGGACAGCCUGCCGGGAUGGGCCGAAGGAGCCUCAGGGACCCCGGGCAUCUUCUCUUGAUGCGGAGGGAUGGUCCAGACGACCUGCUGAUAUUUCUGGCCCUUUAAAAAUUUUUAUAAUGCCACGAGAUCAUCCUGUGGAUUUCAUUAGGAUGCCUCCUGGAAUAAAAAUCCCUCCCGGGGCUUGUUCCUGGGCCGCAGCUCACCUGUGCGGUGCUGCUCUCCGGCGCGAAGUGGGUGCGAAACGCUGCUGCGGGGAUGCGCGGCUGUCGCACACCUGCGCUCCAAAGCGCAAAUAACUCCCCGGGCUGCGAGCCGGGGGCCGGGCCCCUGGCAAGCCGGGGACUCUGACUGAUGAAUUUUCACAGCAGGUGAGAGCAGCAGGAGACACACACAUCGCAGAUUUCACGUACAGACAGCCGCGCUCUGGAAGACAAAUGGAGGGAAUACCUCGGGAUGUGGCUGCCGGGUCAGCCUCCAGCAUCACCCCGUGGCAGACAAAUCCCUGCCCUCAGCCUUGGCAUGAGGCACCUGCUGAGGUGGAGGGGGUGACACAGCUCCUGCGGCCAGCUCCCAAUUUUCUUCAUUACCUGCUGUGAGAUUCUCCCAAAGAUAAGAGGCUCUUGUGCAAAGCCGCUAAUUUAGUCCCAGCAAACAAGAAAAUAAGUCUGGAUGUGAAAGGCUGGUGGGAUUUUGACAAGAUGCAUGUAGAGGUUGGGCGACUAGUCUUAAUUAGGCCAUCUUUGUUUACAUUUGAUGUUUAUCAGCUAAUUGGCAUGGCAAGGUGUGAGUCACACAGCUUCCCUCUGGCAUGAAAUCAGUUCGCAGGAGAAAAACUGGGAGAACAAAUGAUCCCAAUUAUAAGAAAACCCACUGUGCUAAUUACCAUCCCACGGACUACGGAGCCUCCCACACGCGUCCUUCCCCGGCGUCCCCCAGGCAGGGCCAGCCCCGGCACACUCCUCCCACCCGGUUCCCAGCCCCUGGUUCUGCCCGGGACCCUCCCCUGGCACUGCAGGAGCAAAGGUGAUGCUUCACCGGCUGCUCACUUCAUGCCCCGCAGCAUUUCCCCGGGACUAAGCCUACUGCCCUUUUUGUUUCCCCCUCCAUGCCUUUUUUUUUUGUUUUGUUUUUUUUUUUU